This 481-nucleotide ribosomal RNA is filed under the name uncultured bacterium. Its description in RNAcentral is "bacterial SSU rRNA". It matches the Rfam family "Bacterial small subunit ribosomal RNA", at positions 28 to 510 of the family's 1533-position model. The record is from RNAcentral.
GAUGAACGCUAGCGGCAGGCUUAACACAUGCAAGUCGAGGGGCAGCGCGAUGUAGCAAUACAUUGGCGGCGACCGGCGCACGGGUGCGUAACACGUAUGGAACUUACCCUUUACUGGGAGAUAGCCCGGAGAAAUCCGGAUUAAUAUCCCAUAAUAAACGAAGUGGCAUCACUUUGUUUUGAAAGCUCCGGCGGUAAAGGAUGGCCAUGCGCACGAUUAGCUAGUAGGUGAGGUAACGGCUCACCUAGGCUACGAUCGUUAGGGGGCCUGAGAGGGUUAUCCCCCACACUGGGUACUGAGACACGGACCAGACUCCUACGGGAGGCAGCAGUGAGGAAUAUUGCGCAAUGGAGGCAACUCUGACGCAGCCAUGCGCGUGCAGGAGAAGCGCUACGCGUUGUAACUGCUUUUAACCGGGAGAAACCCUCCGACGUGUCGGAGGUUGACGGUACGGAGAAUAAGCACGGCUAACUUCGUAGCC